Molecule: long non-coding RNA, 1997 nt
Filed under: Linum usitatissimum (flax)
Lineage: Eukaryota; Viridiplantae; Streptophyta; Magnoliopsida; Malpighiales; Linaceae
Description: long non-coding RNA (LUSI_LNC006064)
Source: RNAcentral
UAGAGAUGGCCAAAUGUUGUGUAUAAAUACCAAUGCAUGUUCAAUGAAAAUGGAAAGCAUCACAUCACAAGUAGUAGUAACUUAUAAUUCAGUCUGAAAACUCAAAAUCAUGUCGAAGGGCUCAUCAUCAUCAUCAUCAUCAACAACAAAAGUCGUCAUCUCUUUCGCAUUAGCUCUUCUCCUUAUGUUAGGUACGUUGCACACCAAAAUAACUGGUUAUAAUUGAAAGAAUAACGUUGAAAGAUGGUUUAGUUUUGAUUAUUUUGAUGAACGUUGCAGGAAACAAGGAGGCUGUUAUGGAGGUAGAAGCAGGGGACGACGACCUUUGCUUAAGAGGACCAGUAACAAUGUAUAACUUUUGUUUGGACGAAGGCGUAUGUACUGAUGCUUGCAUCGGAAAGUAUGGAAAGGAUAUCGUCGGCAAGUGUGAAACUCCCACUAACUGUUUUUGCUACGAACACUGUCCCAACUGAAUGCAAACCUAAUCAAUCGUGUUCUUCUACCAGCUCAUGUAUUUCUAUUCAAUAAACUAGAAAUAGAUCGUACUUUGCCUUGAGAAAUGAUAUAGGCAAUUCAUAUUGUUGAGAGAGAGAUCGGGAAAAAAGCUUUUAUUGUUUGUCGUAAGAAGUUAUAUGUAUGCACUAGUUAGGAAGUAACUGUUUUGCACAUCACAUACAUAUGGAGUGGAGAUCAUGUCAACUUGAUUUAAUGUGUCAAUCGCUAACAAACGGGCUCAUGAAUACAAUUUUGCUUCACCUUAAUUGGAAAUCUAGAGGCUCACAGUAAAAGUAGAAAAAAAGAUGCAAAGGUAAAUCUACUUGGAGGGGGAUUCCUACCUCCGUGAUGCAUUAUAGAUGCAAUAGUAAAAUCCUCACUACUCUCGUAUAUCAAAUGCUAAUUAACAAACAAGCUUAUAAAAGGUGAAAGAUGUAUACUUUUACUCUUACCUCGAUUAGAGAUCUAAAGCUCACGAUAAAAAUAAAAACGAAAUGCAAGUGAUUUUAGCUAGUUGGAGGAGAUCCCUAUUCGUUCAUACACCAUCGUCUCUUCCAUCCGUAAGAGUAGCUAACACAACAUUAUUACAUCCUUGUGUUCGUGUUCUUGCUUCAUAGCAAUAUAAUGUAUUGUACGCAUGCCUGCAUGGAUUGGUGGGAGUCUCCAAAUUUAUUCCACCAUCAUUUAAAGAACAGAGCAAUCACCUUUCGUGCAUGGUACAAAGGUGCAGACAGAUGUAAUCUGGUCAUAAAUGGCGUAUCUGGAGAAAUUUGUUAAUUUGGAAAGUGAUUAAUUACGCGGAGACGCAUGCAUGCAAACACGGGUAGAGUUACACAUGUAAACAAAACCAAACCAAAAAAAUAUUGUGUAUAUAUUGUGAAAUGGAAAGCAUCAUACCACAGCUAGUAACUUGAUUCAAUCUGAAAACUCAGAAACUCAAAAUCAUGUCAUCAUCAUCACCAUCAACAAAAGUUGUCAUCUCUGUUGCAUUAGUUUUUCUGCUCGUCUUUGGUAUGUACUCCGACUUGCACACCAAAUAUAUACAACUGGUUAUGAUGUUGAAAGCUAGCUUGAUUGUGAUUUUUGCGACGAAUGUUGCAGGAAACAAGGAGGUGGUUAUGGAGGCAGAAGGAGGGGACGAUGACUACUGCUUAAGAGGACCAGCAACAAUAUACGACUUUUGUUUGGAUCCGAAAGGAAUAUGUACCGAUGCUUGCAUCCGAAAGUAUGGAAAGACUUGCACCGGCAGGUGUGAAAGUCCUACCAACUGUUUUUGCUAUGAUGUCUGUAUCUAGUGCUUUCAAAACUAAUCAAUCAUAUCUAUCUUCUUCUACCACAUAUCUUCUGCAAAAAAAAAUUUCAAUCUGAACUCAGAUCGCAAACCCACGAUAAGAAACAUUCAUGAAGCAAGCCGCUCUAGUGCCAAGCUAAAUCCCAAGUAAAGACAAGUGUCACGUCGAUAAGAGAAUAAACAAAGAAUUGGCUUAUGCCGAAUAUCUAAA